AGAAGUUCUGCUCCGGGAAAUCAGCACAGUAUGCUAGUACUGUGCUGAUCCUUCUUCGAUGGUUGAUCAGGUGCCUCCUUCUUUUUGAUUUGGACUCUUCUAAAGAUGAGAAAUAGGAGGAGGAGUUUCAGAUCUGAGACACUCUUAAGAAACUCAAGAUGGAAGAAGGAAAAAGAUGAAACUAACAACCCUAGAAGAAGACCC
RNAcentral lists this long non-coding RNA (204 nucleotides) under Elaeis guineensis (African oil palm). RNAcentral's name for it is "long non-coding RNA (EGUI_LNC081906)". Lineage: Eukaryota; Viridiplantae; Streptophyta; Magnoliopsida; Arecales; Arecaceae. The record is from RNAcentral.